Molecule: long non-coding RNA, 455 nt
Organism: Gymnodraco acuticeps
Lineage: Eukaryota; Metazoa; Chordata; Actinopteri; Perciformes; Bathydraconidae
Exons: 3
Source: RefSeq, a predicted model, not a curated record
GUGUGGGUCAUCCAGAGCCCUAUAAUAGAAAUUCUACAUAAAGAAGCAGGUGCCACCCCACUCCCCGGAACGUUCCUUGCUCGCCUACACCAAGACCUGGACAACCCAGGUGGACUUGGGGCCUUUAGCAUUGCCGGAGAGGAGGAGAGGAUCAGGAGGGGACACGGAAUUCUGGAGCGCCCCCGAGAAGAGAUGUGGGCCAGAUUUGUCAGAGAUGUCCUCAAACAUUACAUCUGCAUGUCUGCGGAUAGCAGUUAAUGGACCAGCACCAGAGUAUAAUACAACAGUAACUGAUUGCAUUUUAUCGAAGUGCUUUGUUUUCAGGGUAGAUUUACUUUACCCGAGGGUGUCCAUUUCUGGCUAUUUCUGAGAACUACUUCUGAGUAAAAUAUUGUACUAUUUAGUAUGCAGAACCUGCAUUCUUAAUGCAGCUAACGCGAGCUUGCAGCUAACGC